This is a long non-coding RNA of Suricata suricatta (meerkat), 1257 nucleotides long. RefSeq lists it as uncharacterized. Lineage: Eukaryota; Metazoa; Chordata; Mammalia; Carnivora; Herpestidae. The record is from RefSeq and is a predicted model, not a curated record. The transcript has 4 exons.
ACGCCCCUCUCCAAGCCCCGCCCAGGGCUUGCGGGGACGUUUCCGUGGCGACUGUAAACAAAACUUGAGAGCUGUGGGAGCUCUGCUCCCCCAACCCACACUCCUGCAAAUAAGGUGAUUGAGAAUGACAGCGCAGAUGUUAUGAACUGAAACACGGAGAAAUGGGGGCCCAGGUGGGAGCCAGGCCCUGGGAGGGACAGCCUGGGGGUCCGGGACACGUGGGCUGUGGUGCGAGGGCCUGCCACCGUCAGAAGAGGCAGCAGCAACUGGAGAACCAGGGAUUGACAUCUACGGGAGCAGACGUGCAGGUGGAGCCGGAUGUUGCGUGGGUCCGGGCAGCAAAGCUGGGAUGAGACACCGAGAGCAAGAGGGCCUCGUUGGAGCAACACCUUGUGUAUUUUCCUAGAAAGGAGCAGGCAGUCUGCAUGGGAGGGGCUCUGCCAGGCUAGGAGUAUGAGCAGUGGACAGGAGAGACACCGUCUGGGCAUCCAAGUCCGACAAUCUAUUAUUGAACAAAAAAAUUGUUCGUGACAAGAGAACCAUAAGGUGGACUUUAUUUGGGACCACAGUGAUAGAUGUUGGGAACACCGCAAGGGGGUCUUGCACUGGGGGAAAGAUUGGACUCAACUCCAAACACAACGAGAAAGAGUGGAAACUUACAGCCAAGGAGCAAGCAGGGCCUGGGAGCCUUCUCUUUUCAAUGUCAAGAAGACAGUGCCCCGUCGUCACUGCGGGAAUCUGGCAGAGCCACCUCAACUACAUGCUCAUCAUGGGGGUACAAGAAUGUUCACUUUUCUUUCAGAGAGAGGCCAUUAGCUGGCGUGGUGGCCACCCCACUGACCAAGUGAAUGCAGAGGGAACUUGGAAAGCACGUAGAGUGGAGUUUCUUCCUUGCUCCAAGCAUGGUUUAAGGCAGAUCCAAGGAGUUGGAGGGAUCUUUGCUCCACGUGAUCGAGCAGAUGCUCUAACAAAAUACCACAGAAUGGGAAGCACGCAAACAACAUACUUAUUUCCCACAGUUCUGGAGGUUGGGAAAUUCAACAUCAUGAUGCGGGCAGAUUUGGUGUGCUGGCUGGCCAGAGCCCACUUCCUGGUUCCCUGAUGGCUGUGUCCUCACAUGGUGGGAGGGACUAGAGAGCUCUCUGGGACUCUUGUCUGAGGAAGGGCACUAAUCCCAUUCAUGAGGACUGCACCCUCAUGACCCAAAUGUCCCACCUCUUAAGACCAUCAUGUGGUGGAUUAGGAUGGGUGGAAGUG